CAUGAGGCUAUUUGAGCUGCACACCACUGGGAGCAUUUAAUAGGUAGUGGGAGCUUUACCACCCCUGGCUAUAACAACCUUAAGGAAUUGGAGAAGGCAAUAGUGAUGGUGUGGGAGACAAUGGCCUGGUGCUCCUUGGUGGGGUCACAAUCGAGGGGUAAAUAAGAGGAGGUAUCCGCGAGUUGUCGCUGUGCCUCGACAAGGUAGAGGUGUAAUAUAACAUCCUCAUUUAUUGUAGGAUGUACUGGCAAGUGGGACUUGGCUGGUGACCUGGUAGUUAUCAGACUGCAGUAAUAUUUGGGGACAAAACUGGACAAGUCAGAAGAAGCUACAGAAUGAAGUUUGAUGAAAGAGUUGAUUGAAUGCAGUAACUGUUCACCAGAAGCACUGAUGUCAUUGAUGACAAACGCUGUUGAUCCUGAUUCCUCAUCAACUGGUCUGCCUGCCUGCUCGUGUGCAGCUGAUUCUUUUCACAGAAUUUUCUUGGAAAAUUAUUGUUCUUUCAGCUUGUUUUUACAUAUUUUACAAAAAGCAAGACACAGUUCUCUCUGCUGGAACUUUUGUUUCCUUCCGCAGUUACAACACUUGGGUGUCCUUGAGAUUUCCUUAGCCUUAGCUUGCAGCAUUUCUUCUGUCACCUCCAGAGAUUUGUUUUAUGUAAUCUCACACUCUGCCAUGUGACUCACUGACAUAACUAAAUUGAACCUCCAUGCUUUUCCUGCAUAAGACACAUCUCAUUUCUUUUCUUUUAAAAAAAUCAUCACCACUGAUGAGAUUUCCAAAAUUCUAUUCUACAGCAUUCAUGCAUUUCACCAGAAUCAUGUUAAAUUUACAUCUCUUGGAAGAAAUAUUUUCUGAGUUAGCAAUUCUCAGGAAAGUUCCUCAACAUAAGGUUCAUCUUGUAUCGAACUCCUCUUUGUCCCAAUAUAUCUAGAGGAAUAAAAUUCAUGUGCUUCUAUCUCCAUCACAAAGCAUUAUUACCUGAACUUUUUUUUUGUUUUCUGCUCCAGCAUCAUUGCUGUAGCAUAAUUUUGUCAAAAUAACUUAAAUAUCUAUGUUUCCAUAGAUACCUUCAGUAUGGUUAGAUCCUGACGUAUUUCCUCUUAAUAACCUUGUUAUUUUGGGCAGUUGGGGCUCGUCAGCCUUGGACAGCAGCCCGCCUAGGAGAAGGAAAACCCUGAUUUUAAACCGCCGCUGCGUUACGGCCAUACCCACCCAUGGGAAAGGCUUCGGGGGUAAACCCUGAGGAAGAAAUCCGGAGCCGGGGUCCCUCAGGCAGUUUGAUAUUGUUUACAACUUCACUCUGGCAACAUCUGCAACGACACUACGGCCAACCUGUAUAGGCACUUGCCCUUCCCUUGGACUACAUCAGUGACAUGGAGAAGGAGAACCUGCUGCUUGAGCAACAGCCAGUUCUUUUAAUUUACCUGCCCAGGCUUGCGGCCUGGAGAGGAUACAGUCCACCAGAGGCACAAAUCCAUGAUCUCCUGGGAUUGACAGCUGCGUACUACUACUGCUGCUGCUACGUAGCCUUGUUACUUCCUCCAAGAAACCAUAAUGCUGUGGUUUGAAGACUUGUGUGCCUCAACGACCCAGAGAGUUAUUAUGUGUUAGCUGGAAUCAGGGCUUUAUGGUUUGGCUCUUGGUAGGGUCACCAUGCCAAAUAGGUCAAAGGGUAGAGGCCAGACUAAGAUGUAUAAGGUAUAGAAGGUCCACCAGUCCUCCAGGUUCAGCUUGGGGCUAACAACCCUGACUGGUAAAACAAAGUUGUUAUGGAAACUGCAAUGAUGAAUAUCUUUCUACAUCUGAGUCGCCAAGGACAGACAGGGAUGGAGGACCUUCAUUUCUGCCCUAAACUCCAGUAACGUAACAGGCAGUGAGUAAAUAAUCCAGUUAUUUAUUGAUUAAUUGGUGAUGCAAUACAAAGACUGAAAAUUAAAAGCAAAACUAUAGAUGUUGCAAAUUUGACACAAAAUUAAAAAAAUGCUGGGAAAACCCAACUGGCAAGGCAGCAUCUGUGGUAAGUCAAUAUUUUGUCUAUAUCUUUUGUCUAAAUUGAGGAAGAGAGAUAUGCAAAUAAGUCAUGCAAGUGUUCUCCACACUUCCCUUUAAUCUUUUUAUAGGGAUCACCACUUCACAACUUUCUUAUCCGCUCUUUGUCCCCCACUCAAUGACCGCUGUCAUAUGGCUAAUUGCUGUGCAAUACCUGUCCAUUCACUACUUUCCUUUCCACCAUGCAGAGACCCAACCAUAUUUUCCAUAUAAACCAGUGAUUCACUUGUACUCCUUCCAGUCUUGUUUACCGCAUUCCUUGUAGGCAAUGUAGCCUCCUCUUUAUUGGCGAAUACAAACACUUUGUGGAACAACUGCACUUAGUCUGUAGGAAUGACCCUGAGCUUCCAUUUGUGCCCCACUUUUAUUCACCAUCCCACUGUCCUUCUGGUCACUCUAUCUGUGACGUCCUGUUACAAUGCAAUCCAAUGUAAGCGUGAACAAUAACAUUUCUUCUCCACCUGGGUACGUUGAAGCUUUCUGGGCCUAAUAUCAAGUUCUCUAAUCUGCUCUUACUUCAUGUAUAAUAUAAGAACCAUGUCCGCCUGCAAUCCUAUUUUCUUUUACUCUCUGUAUAAGCAUCACCUGCUAGAGUCACAUCAAUACCAUUACCAUAGCUUACCUAUCCCACCAGCUCAGAGUCAUUCCUGUCAGCUCUUUCCAUAGAUGCUGCCUGAUCUGCUUAGAUUUUACAGAAUUUUCCAUUUACUUGUUUAUGUUAAGUUGGCUGAGUUUUCCCCAUCCUGCUCAUUAAGUCUAGCGUGCCUAGCAGGUCACACAACCUUGCCGUUAACAACUUAUGCUGUAGAUGAAGAAGUCCUUGUCCUACUGCCAUUUAUAUUUGUCCUAUCACAGACCUACCUAUCUACUCACCUAUUGAAAAAAGGCAUUUGUCUCUUUUCUGAAGGACCACAGGAACAACUUCCAGGCGGGGCAAUGGGUGAGCUUCAGCUGGUCCUUUCAGUUUAUGGCUAUUAUAAGUUUGAAUUCAAAAUCUUUUGAAAAAAUACAGUGAUGUUGAAAUAUCUGCGGUAUGCUGUUCAUCUCUGAACAGAUAUAAAAUAAUAAACAUAAAUUUUACUGCUAUUACUAUUGCAUGGUCAAUUCAAGUGAAUAGGAAUACAGGAUUGGAGCCUAUGCAAUUUGCAGUGUAAAAUUCAAUAGCAAAAUGAUCUUUUCAAUUCUGCAGAUUUCAAAUAUCAGUUUUAGGGACACUUGCUUCUACAUGUAUAAAAUGCUGUUUACUGUGAGAAAUAAAGA
Long non-coding RNA from Mobula hypostoma (lesser devil ray), 3312 nucleotides. RefSeq lists it as uncharacterized. The record is from RefSeq and is a predicted model, not a curated record. NCBI's taxonomy places the organism in Eukaryota, Metazoa, Chordata, Chondrichthyes, Myliobatiformes, Myliobatidae. The transcript has 4 exons.